This 253-nucleotide ribosomal RNA is filed under the name uncultured bacterium. RNAcentral's name for it is "partial 16S ribosomal RNA". It matches the Rfam family "Bacterial small subunit ribosomal RNA", at positions 524 to 776 of the family's 1533-position model. The record is from RNAcentral.
UACGGAGGGUGCAAGCGUUAUCCGGAUUCACUGGGUUUAAAGGGUGCGUAGGCGGUCUUUUAAGUCAGUGCUGAAAUACUCCAGCUUAACUGGAGGGGUGGCAUUGAUACUGGAAGACUUGAGUAUAGUUGAGGUAGGCGGAAUUGACGGUGUAGCGGUGAAAUGCUUAGAUAUCGUCAAGAACACCGAUAGUGAAGACAGCUUACUAAACUAUAACUGACGCUGAGGCACGAAAGUGUGGGGAUCAAACAGG